UGGGGAAUAUUGCACAAUGGGCGCAAGCCUGAUGCAGCAACGCCGCGUGCGGGAUGACGGCCUUCGGGUUGUAAACCGCUUUUGAUCGGGAGCAAGCCUUCGGGUGAGUGUACCUUUCGAAUAAGCACCGGCUAACUACGUGCCAGCAGCCGCGGUAAUACGUAGGGUGCAAGCGUUAUCCGGAAUUAUUGGGCGUAAAGGGCUCGUAGGCGGUUCGUCGCGUCCGGUGUGAAAGUCCAUCGCUUAACGGUGGAUCUGCGCCGGGUACGGGCGGGCUGGAGUGCGGUAGGGGAGACUGGAAUUCCCGGUGUAACGGUGGAAUGUGUAGAUAUCGGGAAGAACACCAAUGGCGAAGGCAGGUCUCUGGGCCGUUACUGACGCUGAGGAGCGAAAGCGUGGGGAGCGAACAGGAUUAGAUACCCUGGUAGUCCACGCCGUAAAUGGUGGAUGCUGGAUGUGGGGCCCGUUCCACGGGUUCCGUGUCGGAGCUAACGCGUUAAGCAUCCCGCCUGGGGAGUACGGCCGCAAGGCUAAAACUCAAAGAAAUUGACGGGGGCCCGCACAAGCGGCGGAGCAUGCGGAUUAAUUCGAUGCAACGCGAAGAACCUUACCUGGGCUUGACAUGUUCCCGACAGCCGUAGAGAUAUGGCCUCCCUUCGGGGCGGGUUCACAGGUGGUGCAUGGUCGUCGUCAGCUCGUGUCGUGAGAUGUUGGGUUAAGUCCCGCAACGAGCGCAACCCUCGCCCUGUGUUGCCAGCACGUCAUGGUGGGAACUCACGGGGGACCGCCGGGGUCAACUCGGAGGAAGGUGGGGAUGACGUCAGAUCAUCAUGCCCCUUACGUCCAGGGCUUCACGCAUGCUACAAUGGCCGGUACAACGGGAUGCGACACGGCGACGUGGAGCGGAUCCCUGAAAACCGGUCUCAGUUCGGAUUGGAGUCUGCAACCCGACUCCAUGAAGGCGGAGUCGCUAGUAAUCGCGGAUCAGCAACGCCGCGGUGAAUGCGUUCCC
RNAcentral lists this ribosomal RNA (1012 nucleotides) under uncultured bacterium. Its description in RNAcentral is "bacterial SSU rRNA". It matches the Rfam family "Bacterial small subunit ribosomal RNA", at positions 355 to 1375 of the family's 1533-position model. The record is from RNAcentral.